UAGAUCAGUUUAUGCAGUUUUAUUAUUAUACAGUUAAUAGUUAAUAUAUUUUUAUAAUAGUUAAUAUAAUAUAUUUUUAAUAUUAUACAGUUAAUAGUUAAAAUAUAUUAUAUUAUAUAUUAUAUUGUUAAUAGUUGAUGAAAGGUAAUUUUUAGCAGUAUAUAAAUAUAUUCUGUAUCUCGAACAUUAACCCAUUUUCCCGUUUUUCGAGCAUCUCGAUGAAAAUGCCUAAUAGAUGGGAGAAGACUCGAUGUUUCUAAUUAUUUUGUUAAUGAUAAUUUUAUCAAUAACAAAGUUAUUGGUAAACAUUUCUUGACCCAAUAUGAAGAUAAUUUUCUCUUUUUAUUAAUGCAAUUAGCUUUCGAAAUAUCGAUUUCUUUAUUUUUUAAGUUUUAGUUAUGUUUCUGUAAGCAUGAAUAAUUUAAAAUAUUACAGGCACGAACAUAUUUUAGCACAUAAAAUUUCUUCACAUUAUUACAUUAUUGAAAGAUAUUUGCGAAUUUACAAGGACAUAUAUUUUGCAAAUAGUAAAAUCACGGACAUCGAAGAUAUUUUGUCGUUCGAAAUAUGUAUAACUUUCAAUAUUUGGACGAAAUAUCAGAUUCAGAGGAAUAUUGAAACAUUUUAUUUAUCGUGGAUGAUAAGAAUUCUACCCUACGAAGAUUUCAAUUCGAAGAUAGAUGAACAGCCGUCGUAAAAGAGGAAUUGAACCGUGUUUCCGCUGACACGUAGAUUCUGUACGAAAUGUGAUCGAAACCGCGUAAUAAACAAAGGAAAUAUAAUAUAUUGAUUUUAUAUAUUAAUUGUUAAAUACAGAUAUAUGUAUUGUUUUACAGAUUUUAUUAAAUUUCUAAAUAAUAAUCGCAACUUCUCACGAAUAUUUCUAUAAUUUACUAUUAAUUAUAUAAUUAUAAUUUGUUAAUUCUAUAAUGUGUUACAUUAAACGUUUCUUGCAAUUAUUUUUGGGAAACUACCAUAACGCUUCAUGAUACUAUCAGAUAACAAGAAUAAUUAGAAAAUAACGAAGAAUAAUAAAAACUCAACUAGUAUCUACAGUAUGUGCCAGUGAAAAUUAAUUUCUUUUACACUUGUAUUAUAAUUCGAAGAAUUAAAAAAUGGCAAGAAAUAAGCAAAAUAAAUAAACAAAAAUAUAGCUGGAAGAUCUAAAUAAAUUAUAUCCACCUUAAAUAAUGUUAAGAUUGAAAGGGAAGUGUAAAAUGUGUUAAAGAAUCUUACAAAUUUUUAGAUCAUAUAUAUAUACAGGGUGGUUGGUAAAAAAGAAGUUGAAAAUAUAGAAUAAAAAUUUUUUUUUUAAUUUUUCCAUCGAGACGUUAUAACGAGACGUGAUAAAGUGCACGCGUACCGAGCGAAAAUUCAAAGUCGAUUUUCUCGAAAACAAAGCCUCAAACGAAAAAUUUUUAUUCUAUAUUUUCGACUUCUUUUAUCGCGUAGAAUCACCACCUUUCCGCUUGUACCACCAGUUACCAACCACCCUGUAUAUACAGCUAUAACUCUUCUGUAAAUGCAGAAAUACAGAAUUUAUUAUAUAAUUUAAUCUUUUCUUUUUGCGUGUGUAAGUUUAACGUCACAUUGCUUCGCGAGAGACACUCUGUAUUCUAGUAGCAUUGCAUUCGAUAAUUUAAUUGCUUAAAUCCUCUAAACCUUCUAGAUAAUUGCAAAUUUGUAGAGCCUGUAUCGCAUUUUAUUCCGAGAUUUGCAAGCAAUUUCCCAGGCUUUGUUCGUUCGCUUCUAAAUGACUGCAUCGCUUUAACGCGGUUCUCGGUCUUCCUUAGUCUUAUAGCGACGACAAGAAUUGCUCUGGCGCUCUAUGAAAAUCAGUUUUCUUUAAAAGCGAGACGACAAUAGCCGCAGAAGAAAACCAUUAACAACUGAAAGUCGUUCACGGACAAUUGUGCUUUCGAGACAAAGAUAUUCCAUCGAAUUAUGAAAAAAGUAGGAGUUUGAGAAUAAAUACGAUCGGUAAUUGCAUGUCCGUAUAAAGAUAACGAAGGCCAAGAGUAUAAAAUCGACGUAUAAAAUCGAGCUAUGAAAAUCCUAAAUGAAAUUAGAAGAAGCCCUGAUAUAUGUAACUUCUGAAACAGAUGACGAAGUGACGAAAAGAUGACUUGUUGAAGACUACAUCACGCGAUUGUAUCGAUAAAAGUAUUAUUAAAAAGCGAUGGAACUUUAAUAUCUCGAAUGAUUUAUAUUGUACGAUUUUUUUAUAUGUAUUUAUAAUAUUAUAAAUAUUAUACUGUGCUGUUACACGUACGUAUUCCAGAUUAUGAUAUUAGGUUGUCCGAAAAGUUUCUUUCGUUUCAUAAGGUGAUAAUAGAUGAACAACAAUUUCUGUUUUAUAUUAUUUUAUUAGCGACAGAUAUAGCAAAAGAGUCAACAAACACCGAAACCCCCUAAUCACUGGGCUACUUGAUACGACGGACCAGAUUCGCAGGCUGAAGAGGCACUACCCGCUAGACCUAAACGCUAGAUUCAAUUAGUUACCUAAAUUAAGUAAUAUUCACUUAUUUAUAACGCUCACUUAUAAAUUAUACUUAUCUAUAAUAAGUAUUAACUUAUUAUAAAUAAUCAGCCAUGUCACUGCGCCACGCCAAAAAAAUUACUGAAAAUUCUCAACGCGAGAAUUGAUUGUAAUUUUAAUAAAUAAAUAAAUAAAAAAAAAUAUUAUUUUAUUGAAUUAGGUAUGAUCCAUUUCGUUCUAUUUCUAUUAUUAUGUUCGUGCAUAGUUCAAUAAACUAAUAUAAAACAAAAAACAUUGUGCGUCUAUUAUUCCCUUAUAAAACGAAAGAAACUUUUCGGACAACCUAAUACAUUGAUCUGGAUGAACACGGGCUUGCUCGACCAGGCAGGCGUCAUCGAUCUCACGACGAUGGAUAACGCGACGCGACUGUGAGAUUCACGUGACAAAGGCCGAUGCAGGAAGCACGUGGCCCAUCACACGCAUUCGAGUUCGAUAGCUCGGUUGAAUAUGCAACGGCGACGCCUUGCAGUUCGCAUUCUAGAUAGGUCAAUAUUCUUGCAAGCGCUUUGUGCGGCGCGCUUUUCGCUGAUCGUUUAUCUUGUAGCGUAUGGCAUCGCGCUCUAAGCAUCCGCAGAACGAUGAAUAUUAAUCAUCGGCGACGCGUACCGCGGGAUAUCGAUACUGGCAACCUGAUUACUAUUUUUUCCCAAUGAUUUAUCGCAUGCAACGAGAAAUCGGAUAACAACCUUGUUGCAUACUUGCGAUAGCUAUCUCAUAGAUAUAAGAAAGAUCGAUGAUUUAUCGUUUGCAAUUGUUCAGCGUUAAUGGAGCGUGCGAAUAUGUUUCCAAAGCUGGAUAAGUAUUAUUAAUAACUAUUAUUUCCAUACGCUUCAUCAUUCUCGGAAAAGAGUUUAAACAGACAGUUGAACUCUGUUAUGUAGAACCAAUCUUCAAAAUUACGAAAGAUUAGUUAAACACACCUGUUAUCUAAAAAUUUCCAACAUAUACAACGACCCUUAUAUUGUAAAAUUAUUAAAAAUAUCGAGCCUUAGUUCCUUUUUGGUUGUAUAGUUACUUUGCAGGAAGCUUGCAAACCACGUGAUCGCCCAUAAUAAUCGUCCAAUGCUUUUGAAAUGGUAAAUAUUGUUAUAAUAACAAUAUAUAACGUUUUAUUAAAUACAAAAUUUAUAUAGAACAUAAUAACUUAUUAAGUAUUAACUAAUAAAGUAUUAACGUACACCGCUCUAUUCUCUUACACAUCUCAAACAGGAAUGAAUUUGUAUAUUGCACACUUAUUCGUUCAAUACAUACGCGAUGCGUUCGUCUCAUGGCGUUUUCCUUUCGUCUUGCUCUCUUUCAUUCCUCGCUCGUACAAUACAGAUGUACACACAUCUAUUUUCUAACAAAUCUAAAGAAAGUUACUGGCGACAAAUGUUCUAACAUUAUGGACGCUUCUAUUUAGCGAUAUUAUUGAGAUAUGUGUACUUUUGUGUGCUACACUGGAUUAGCCGCGUGAAGUGACACACAUAUAUGAGUAUGAGUGUGUGGAAGUAUGUGCGUGCGCAGCAUCUCGUAAAACAGAAGAAUGCAAUGUUUCGUACGUAUGGUGGCAGAAAAAGAUGGCGUGAGAAAAGGAGUGCUGAGACGCGUACAAUGUUUAUCUAUCUAGUGUCUUCGACUAAGAUCCACGAUUCUCAACAGAUAUUAUGACCGAAUGGCAAAUUCGUGUCAGAGGAGAAACUUAACCUUUCGCACUCGAGGACUUCUUUGGUCGAGCGUAGCAGCUACUUUGGAUGAUUUAGCGUUUUAAAACCAAGUUCAUUUUUAUUUGAGCUAAUUUCACUUCUGAAAAUCAUUUUUUGAGGAUUUCUAAACUAUAAUACUUUCGCCAUAAUUCGGACGGAUAUGGGAUAAAAUAUUUUAUCUCCAUUUUUAAAGUCUAACACUUUACACUUCUUAACAAAGAACAUAAAGAGGUAAGCAAUCAAUUUACGAAGCAAUGUUGCACUCACUAAUUGGAGAUGUCGAAAUCUAGCAUAAAGAGACUGUCACCUCUGAAGUACAACACCGUCUCUC
Long non-coding RNA from Bombus huntii, 4555 nucleotides. RefSeq lists it as uncharacterized. The transcript is spliced from 3 exons. The record is from RefSeq and is a predicted model, not a curated record. Lineage: Eukaryota; Metazoa; Arthropoda; Insecta; Hymenoptera; Apidae.